Molecule: ribosomal RNA, 504 nt
Filed under: bacterium LM54
Lineage: Bacteria
Description: bacterial SSU rRNA
Rfam family: Bacterial small subunit ribosomal RNA
Source: RNAcentral
GCUAAUACCGUAUAACAAUGACAACCGCAUGGUUGUUAUUUAAAAGAUGGUUCUGCUAUCACUAAGAGAUGGUCCCGCGGUGCAUUAGCUAGUUGGUAAGGUAAUGGCUUACCAAGGCGAUGAUGCAUAGCCGAGUUGAGAGACUGAUCGGCCACAAUGGGACUGAGACACGGCCCAUACUCCUACGGGAGGCAGCAGUAGGGAAUCUUCCACAAUGGGCGAAAGCCUGAUGGAGCAACGCCGCGUGUGUGAUGAAGGGUUUCGGCUCGUAAAACACUGUUGUAAGAGAAGAAUGACAUUGAGAGUAACUGUUCAAUGUGUGACGGUAUCUUACCAGAAAGGAACGGCUAAAUACGUGCCAGCAGCCGCGGUAAUACGUAUGUUCCAAGCGUUAUCCGGAUUUAUUGGGCGUAAAGCGAGCGCAGACGGUUAUUUAAGUCUGAAGUGAAAGCCCUCAGCUCAACUGAGGAAUUGCUUUGGAAACUGGAUGACUUGAGUGCAGUA